UAAGUGAAUAGUGAAAUCUGGCGGCUCAACCGUACAGGCUAUUAUUCAAACUGGCAAACUCGAGAAUGGUAGAGGUAACUGGAAUUUCUUGUGUAGGAGUGAAAUCCGUAGAUAUAAGAAGGAACACCAAUGGCGUAGGCAGGUUACUGGACCAUUUCUGACACUGAGGCACGAAAGCGUGGGGAGCGAACGGGAUUAGAUACCCCGGUAGUCCACGCCGUAAACGAUGGAUACUA
This 236-nucleotide ribosomal RNA is filed under the name uncultured Candidatus Saccharibacteria bacterium. RNAcentral's name for it is "partial 16S ribosomal RNA". It matches the Rfam family "Bacterial small subunit ribosomal RNA", at positions 584 to 818 of the family's 1533-position model. The record is from RNAcentral. Lineage: Bacteria; Candidatus Saccharimonadota.